ACAUGUAAACAUGUCUCCCCUCCCAGUGGGUACCGCAAGCCGAUGAAGGCGAGGAGUACUCACCGGAUCAGGAAGAGCUAAACAACAGUACGGGUCAGUAGAAAUACAGUAGCAAUAAUAAUGAAUGAAAGAGACAUAUAUAUGAAAGAAGUACAACUACCGCUACUGUAAUGGACAACUGAAUGUAUACAUGUAACAAGAUUAUAGUAGCAAGACAAUGUAAUGAACAGUAGCAAUAAUAAUAAAUGAAAGAGACAUAUAUAUGAAAGAAGUACAACUACCGCUACUGUAAUGGACAACUGAAUGUAUACAUGUAACAAGACUAUAGUAGCAAGACAAUGUAAUGAAAGAACUGAAGGUAUACAAGCAACAACCGCUACUAUAGUUAUAUGCGUCAACCGGACAAGAAGUCCAAAUAUACCCAAUCUGGUACCUGCUAUAUUGGUCCGCAGACCUCAAGCGCUGCC
This 467-nucleotide long non-coding RNA is filed under the name Ananas comosus (pineapple). RNAcentral describes it as "long non-coding RNA (ACOM_LNC016549)". Lineage: Eukaryota; Viridiplantae; Streptophyta; Magnoliopsida; Poales; Bromeliaceae. The record is from RNAcentral.